This 305-nucleotide ribosomal RNA is filed under the name uncultured bacterium. RNAcentral describes it as "bacterial SSU rRNA". It matches the Rfam family "Bacterial small subunit ribosomal RNA", at positions 337 to 656 of the family's 1533-position model. The record is from RNAcentral.
UCCUACGGGGGGCAGCAGUGGGGAAUAUUGGGCAAUGGGCGCAAGCCUGACCCAGCAACGCCGCGUGAAGGAAGAAGGCUUUCGGGUUGUAAACUUCUUUUCUCAGGGACGAAGCAAGUGACGGUACCUGAGGAAUAAGCCACGGCUAACUACGUGCCAGCAGCCGCGGUAAUACGUAGGUGGCAAGCGUUGUCCGGAUUUACUGGGUGUAAAGGGCGUGUAGCCGGGUUGACAAGUCAGAUGUGAAAUCCUGCGGCUUAACCGCAGAACUGCAUUUGAAACUGUUGAUCUUGAGUACUGGAGAG